This 1373-nucleotide ribosomal RNA is filed under the name uncultured bacterium. Its description in RNAcentral is "partial 16S ribosomal RNA". It matches the Rfam family "Bacterial small subunit ribosomal RNA", at positions 28 to 1381 of the family's 1533-position model. The record is from RNAcentral.
AUUGCAACUCUGGCGGCAUGCUUAACACAUGCAAGUCGAGCGGUAGCACAAGGGAGCUUGCUCCCUGGGUGACGAGCGGCAGACGGGAGAGUAAUGUCUGGGAAACUGCCUGAUGAGAGGGGGAUAACUACUGAAAACGGAACCUAAUACCGAUUAUCUAUCUCAAGACCAUGGAUGGGGACCUUCAGACCUCUUGCCUUCCGAUGUGCCCUGAUGGCAUUACCUAUUAGGUGGGGUAAUGGGUCACCUCUGCCACAAUCCCUAACUGGUCUGAGACGAUGACCGGCCAUCCUGCACCUGAGACAUGAUACACACUCCUAACUCAUGCAGCAGGGAGCAAUAUUGAAUCUUGCGCGCUGGCCUGAUGCCUGCACUGCACCGCGUGUCAAGAAGGACUUCGGGCUUCAGAUCACUUUCACUCUGUUAUGAAGGAGGAGAACUUGUGUCAUUCAUUAUGUGCCUCUUGUCGGAAACUAAUCAGAAGGUCACUGCUAGCUACCUGCCACCAUCCUCGGUAAUACGUAAGUGGUAAGCGUAAUCACUGAAUUAUUGGGCGUAAGCGCCGCAGCGGUUUGUUAAGUCUGAUGUGAAAUCCCCGGGCUCAACCUGGGAACUGCAUUGGAAACUGGCAAGCUAGAGUCUCGUAGAGGAAAGUGGAAUUCCAUGUGUAGCGGUGAAAUGCGUAGAGAUCUGGAGGAACACCGGUGGCGAAGGCGACUUUCUGGUCUGUAACUGACGCUCAUGUGCGAAAGCGUGGGGAUCAAACAGGAUUAGAUACCCUGGUAGUCCACGCUGUAAACGAUGUCGAUUUGGAGGUUGUGCCCCUGAGCCGUGGCUUCGCGAGCUAACCCGUUAACUCGCCCGCCUGGGGAGUACGCCCGCAAGGUUAAAACUCAAAUGAAUUGACGGGGGCCCGCCCAAGCGGUGGACCAUGUGGUUUAAUUGGAUGCAACGCGAAGACCCUUACAUAUUCUUGCCAUCCAGAGAACUUAGCAGAGAUGCUUUGGUGCCUUCGGGAACUAUGAGACAGGUGCUGCAUGGCUGUUGUCAGCUCGUGUUGUGAAAUGUUGGGUUAAGUCCCGCAACGAGCGCAACCCUUAUCCUUUGUUGCCAGCGGUUCGGCCGGGCACUCAAAGGAGACUGCCAGUGAUAAACUGGAGGAAGGUGGGGAUGACGUCAAGUCAUCAUGGCCCUUACGAGUAGGGCUACACACGUGCUACAAUGGCAUAUACAAAGAGAAGCGACCUCGCGAGAGCAAGCGGACCUCAUAAAGUAUGUCGUAGUCCGGAUUGGAGUCUGCAACUCGACUCCAUGAAGUCGGAAUCGCUAGUAAUCGUAGAUCAGAAUGCUACGGUGAAUACGUUCCCGGGCCU